UACGUAGGCAGCAAACGUUGUUCGGAGUUACUGGGCGUAAAGAGUGCGUAGGCGGUUCUCUAAGUUUGGUGUGAAAUCUCCCGGCUCAACUGGGAGGGUGCGCCGAAAACUGGAGGGCUUGAGUGUGGGAGAGGCAAGCGGAAUUCCUGGUGUAGCGGUGAAAUGCGUAGAUAUCAGGAGGAACACCUGUGGCGAAAGCGGCGCACUGGACCACUUCUGACGCUGAGGCGCGAAAGCUAGGGGAGCAAACAGG
RNAcentral lists this ribosomal RNA (253 nucleotides) under uncultured prokaryote. RNAcentral describes it as "partial 16S ribosomal RNA". It matches the Rfam family "Bacterial small subunit ribosomal RNA", at positions 524 to 776 of the family's 1533-position model. The record is from RNAcentral.